This 467-nucleotide ribosomal RNA is filed under the name uncultured bacterium. RNAcentral describes it as "partial 16S ribosomal RNA". It matches the Rfam family "Bacterial small subunit ribosomal RNA", at positions 28 to 507 of the family's 1533-position model. The record is from RNAcentral.
GAUGAACGCUGGCGGCGUGCUUAACACAUGCAAGUCGAACGGAAAGGCCCAAGCUUGCUUGGGUUCUCGAGUGGCGAACGGGUGAGUAACACGUGGGUGAUCUGCCCUGCACUUCGGGAUAAGCCUGGGAAACUGGGGCUAAUACCGGGUAGGACCACAUUUUGGAUGGUGUGGUGGAAAGUUUUUCGGUGUGGGAUGAGCUCGCGGCGUAUCAGCUUGUUGGUGGGGUAAUGGCCUACCCAGCCGUCGACGGGUAGCCGGCCUGAUAGGGUGUACGGCCGGUUUGGGACUCAGAGACGGCCCACACUCGUACGGGAGGCAGCAGUGGGGAAUAUUGGACGAAGGGCGGAAGCCUGAUGGAGGGAGGCCGCGUGGGCGAUGACGUCCUUUGUGUUGUAAACUCCUUUCGCUAGGGAAGAAGCGAUUUUGUGACGGUACCUGGAGAAGAAGCACCGGCUAACUACGUG